UAACAGGAGCCAAAGUCUGCAUGAAGGUCUCAGACCUACCUCCAUCACUGCAACAGAACCGAGCAGUGCUCCGCGAGCCUGCAUGAUUCCAGAUCUUCUUGCCUCAGCAGGAUGCUCUGGCUUUCAUGGGUGCUUCUGUCUAUAUUUCUGACAGUAGCAUCUGGGAACACAGCUCCACAGUUCAAGAUGAACAGCAGCUUUAUGUUGCCAGAGGACACACUUAUAGGCACCUUGGUUUUUCAGCUGGUGGCAGUGGAUGCUGAAAACGAUCCAUUAUACUAUAGCAUUAAGGGCGAAAAUGCUUAUUACUUCUCGGUUGAUGAUAGAACAGGCAACGUGACCCUGAAGCAAUCUGUGGAUUACGAG
Python bivittatus (Burmese python) is the source of this 366-nucleotide non-coding RNA. The record is from RefSeq and is a predicted model, not a curated record. Lineage: Eukaryota; Metazoa; Chordata; Lepidosauria; Squamata; Pythonidae.